RNAcentral lists this long non-coding RNA (543 nucleotides) under Setaria viridis. RNAcentral's name for it is "long non-coding RNA (SVIR_LNC000225)". The record is from RNAcentral. Lineage: Eukaryota; Viridiplantae; Streptophyta; Magnoliopsida; Poales; Poaceae.
AGCAGUUUUGCAUCUACCAACUCUUGGAUGGCCUCUUUCUUCAUGGUGGACAUCCUCCAAGCAGAUGCUUGAUUCGGCGGGGAGGUCUGAUCGGUAGGCCCACAUUUGGGCAUGAUCUGCGGCUCUUUCCCUUUCUUGGACUCCUUCGUCGAACCCUCCGUGGUCUUUCCUUUGGACUUGUCGAUUCUCUUCCCCAUCUUCUUUACACGUAUCACCACGGAGGGCGUAAGGGGAGGAAGAGGAAGCUACUUAAGAUCGCUAGUUUUGGCUAAUGGCGACGGCAGCGCAAGUGGCGGCGUUAGGAUUUUUUCAAGAUAGAGAGUAAACAAAUGGGAAUGGCCGGAAGCGUAAACCAUGGAGGCUACCACCCUUAUCUUUUAUAACAGAGCAACGGAUCUAAAACGGCCCCGAGAUUCUGGUAACGGAGCCGGUAAUUUUGCAACGGUCUGAUGCUCUCAAGAUUUAUGAAGUCCAAUGGUCACGUUGAUCAUGGUUGACCCUUUCAUCGCCUGAAGUGUAGUCGAUCAAAGCGCUCAGGGGCUG